AAUUAAUCGUUGAAGAAAAGAACAGUAAGGCGUCCAAUAACAGAGACCUAGCGCGUGCUGAAAGCUGGGGCGGACUAAUGAAUUGGCUUUUUGGAGAUUCGGUGAACACCGGGGACCCACCCUUAUCGGUCAAUGAGUGGCAGAGACAAGCUUUCUGCAAUUUAGGUGGUACCACGGUGAUGCGUCCUAAUU
Molecule: non-coding RNA, 192 nt
Filed under: Lactiplantibacillus plantarum
Lineage: Bacteria; Bacillati; Bacillota; Bacilli; Lactobacillales; Lactobacillaceae
Source: RNAcentral